AUUGAACGCUGGCGGCAUGCCUUACACAUGCAAGUCGAACGGCAGCACGGGAGCAAUCCUGGUGGCGAGUGGCGAACGGGUGAGUAAUAUAUCGGAACGUGCCCAGUCGUGGGGGAUAACGUAGCGAAAGCUACGCUAAUACCGCAUACGAUCUAUGGAUGAAAGCGGGGGAUCGCAAGACCUCGCGCGAUUGGAGCGGCCGAUAUCAGAUUAGGUAGUUGGUGAGGUAAAGGCUCACCAAGCCGACGAUCUGUAGCUGGUCUGAGAGGACGACCAGCCACACUGGGACUGAGACACGGCCCAGACUCCUACGGGAGGCAGCAGUGGGGAAUUUUGGACAAUGGGCGCAAGCCUGAUCCAGCAAUGCCGCGUGCAGGAUGAAGGCCUUCGGGUUGUAAACUGCUUUUGUACGGAACGAAACGGUGAGCUCUAAUACAGUUUGCUAAUGACGGUACCGUAAGAAUAAGCACCGGCUAACUCCGUG
Molecule: ribosomal RNA, 484 nt
Filed under: uncultured bacterium
Lineage: Bacteria
Description: bacterial SSU rRNA
Rfam family: Bacterial small subunit ribosomal RNA
Source: RNAcentral